This 205-nucleotide ribosomal RNA is filed under the name Clostridioides difficile. RNAcentral's name for it is "partial 16S ribosomal RNA". It matches the Rfam family "Bacterial small subunit ribosomal RNA", at positions 1161 to 1365 of the family's 1533-position model. Lineage: Bacteria; Bacillati; Bacillota; Clostridia; Peptostreptococcales; Peptostreptococcaceae. The record is from RNAcentral.
ACCUGGAGGAAGGUGGGGAUGACGUCAAAUCAUCAUGCCCCUUAUGCUUAGGGCUACACACGUGCUACAAUGGGUAGUACAGAGGGUUGCCAAGCCGUAAGGUGGAGCUAAUCCCUUAAAGCUACUCUCAGUUCGGAUUGUAGGCUGAAACUCGCCUACAUGAAGCUGGAGUUACUAGUAAUCGCAGAUCAGAAUGCUGCGGUGA